GCUGAAUCCUGAUCUAAAUGCAGCUUGUUCAAGAGGUUGGUAGAAGUCGAGCUUCUUGGUGUUCCUCUUCGUAACUAUUUUCAUGAACAACUUGUAGAGUGUUGAUAAGAGACUUAUGGGUCGAUAGUUUUCCAACUUUGUUAUGUCUCCUUUUUUAUGCAGCAAUGACUUUGUGGGAUUU
This is a long non-coding RNA of Bradysia coprophila, 181 nucleotides long. NCBI's taxonomy places the organism in Eukaryota, Metazoa, Arthropoda, Insecta, Diptera, Sciaridae. The record is from RefSeq and is a predicted model, not a curated record.